RNAcentral lists this ribosomal RNA (510 nucleotides) under uncultured bacterium. RNAcentral describes it as "partial 16S ribosomal RNA". It matches the Rfam family "Bacterial small subunit ribosomal RNA", at positions 28 to 523 of the family's 1533-position model. The record is from RNAcentral.
GACGAACGCUGGCGGCGUGCCUAAUACAUGCAAGUCGAGCGAAUGACGAGAAGCUUGCUUCUCUGAUUUAGCGGCGGACGGGUGAGUAACACGUGGGCAACCUGCCCUACAGAUCGGGAUAACUCAGGGAAACCUGGGCUAAUACCGGAUAAUCCUUCGAAUCACAUGUUUUGAAGUUGAAAGGCGCUUCGGCGUCACUGUAGGAUGGGCCCGCGGUGCAUUAGCUAGUUGGUGGGGUAACGGCCUACCAAGGCAACGAUGCAUAGCCGACCUGAGAGGGUGAUCGGCCACAUUGGGACUGGGACACGGCCCAAACUCCUACGGGAGGCAGCAGUAGGGAAUCUUCCACAAUGGACGAAAGUCUGAUGGAGCAACGCCGCGUGAGUGAUGAAGGUCUUCGGAUCGUAAAACUCUGUUGUUAGGGAAGAACAAAUUUGUUAGUAACUGAACAAGUCUUGACGGUACCUAACCAGAAAGCCACGGCUAACUACGUGCCAGCCGCCGCCGUAA